RNAcentral lists this small nuclear RNA (100 nucleotides) under Choloepus hoffmanni (Hoffmann's two-fingered sloth). Lineage: Eukaryota; Metazoa; Chordata; Mammalia; Pilosa; Megalonychidae. The record is from RNAcentral.
GCUUUGCGGCAAAACAUAUACUAAAACUGGAAUGAUAUAGAGAUUAGCAUGGCCUCUGCACAAGGAUGACAUGCAAAUUCAUGAAGCGUUCCAUAUUUUU